RNAcentral lists this ribosomal RNA (369 nucleotides) under uncultured bacterium. Its description in RNAcentral is "bacterial SSU rRNA". It matches the Rfam family "Bacterial small subunit ribosomal RNA", at positions 1003 to 1382 of the family's 1533-position model. The record is from RNAcentral.
GAACUAGGGAGUCAGUUCGGCUUGGAUUUGGAUACAGGUGUUUGCAUGGCUGUCGUCAGCUCGUGUCGUGAGAUGUCGGGUUAAGUCCUUUAACGAGCGCAACCCUCAUUGCAUGUUAAUUUUUCAUGCGAGACUGCCCUGGGUUUAACAGGGAGGAAGGUGGGGAUGACGUCAAGUCAGCAUGGCCCUUACACCUUGGGCUACACACGUGUUACAAUGGCCGGUACAAUAAGUCGCAAUACCGUAAGGUGGAGCUAAUCUAUGAAAACCGGUCCCAGUUCGGAUUGGGGGCUGAAACUCGCCCCCAUGAAGUCGGAAUCGCUAGUAACCGUGAAUCAGCACGUCACGGUGAAUACGUUCCCGGGUCUU